UGAAAUUCAGAGGGAGAUUUGUGUC
RNAcentral lists this non-coding RNA (25 nucleotides) under Mus musculus (house mouse). The record is from RNAcentral. Lineage: Eukaryota; Metazoa; Chordata; Mammalia; Rodentia; Muridae.